UACGUAGGCGGAAAAUUAAGUCAGUAGUGAAAUCUCGCAGCUUAACUGUGGAACUGUUAUUGAUACUGGUUUUCUUGAAUAUAGUUGAGGUAGGCGGAAUGUGUAAUGUAGCGGUGAAAUGCUUAGAUAUUACACAGAACACCGAUUGCGAAGGCAGCUUACUAAGCUAUGAUUGACGCUGGGGUACGAAAGCGUGGGGAGCGAACAGGAUUAGAUACCCUGGUAGUCC
This 229-nucleotide ribosomal RNA is filed under the name uncultured bacterium. Its description in RNAcentral is "partial 16S ribosomal RNA". It matches the Rfam family "Bacterial small subunit ribosomal RNA", at positions 568 to 796 of the family's 1533-position model. The record is from RNAcentral.